Molecule: ribosomal RNA, 629 nt
Filed under: uncultured picoeukaryote
Lineage: Eukaryota
Description: bacterial SSU rRNA
Rfam family: Bacterial small subunit ribosomal RNA
Source: RNAcentral
CCGCAAGGCUAAAACCCAAAGGAAUUGACGGUGGCUUACACAAGCGGUGGAGCAUGUGGUUUAAUUCGAAACAACGCGCAAAACCUUACCAAUCCUUGACAUAUGAAAAACCAGGGUGUUUACCCGCUCUGUCUCUUUUAUACAGGUGCUGCAUGGCUGUCGUCAGUUCGUGGUGUGAGCUGUUGGGUUAAGUCCCAGAACGAACGCAACCCUCCUUUGAAAUGAAGGUUUACCUUUUUCAAAGACUGCCAAGGAUAUCUUGGAGGAAGGUGAGGAUGACGUCAAGUCCGCAUGGCCCUUAUGGGUUGGGCUACACACGUGCUACAAUGGGAAUGACAAAAGGAGGCAACAUGGCAACAUUGAGCAAAUCCCAAAAAGUUUCCUUAGUUCGGAUUGUUCUCUGCAACUCGAGAACAUGAAGUUGGAAUCGCUAGUAAUCGUAGAUCAGCACGCUACGGUGAAUUUGUAUCUAAGCCUUGUACACACCGCCCGUCACACUCUGAAAAUUCUCAUGCCUUGAAGCAAAAGAAGUUCACCAAGAACACACAGCGCAAGUAAAAAAACAUCUUCCCUUUUUUUUCUGUGUCUUUGUUGGAACCUUUUCUAGAGUUAGGGAGGUGAUUGGAGUG